This 222-nucleotide ribosomal RNA is filed under the name Octostruma sp. JTL035. RNAcentral describes it as "partial large subunit ribosomal RNA". The record is from RNAcentral. Lineage: Eukaryota; Metazoa; Arthropoda; Insecta; Hymenoptera; Formicidae.
GAAUUUUAUAUAAAUUUAUUAAGUAUUUAAUUUAAAUUUAUUAUAAUAAUAAAAAUUUAUAUUUAGUUGGGAGGAUUGUUAAAUUAUUAAAACUUUAAUUAUUUAUUAAAGACAUAGAUUAGUGAUUAGUUUGUGAAUAAUUAUUAAAUUAAAAAAGAAUAAAUUACCUUAGGGAUAACAGCGUAAUAUUUUUAGUGAGUUCAUAUUGAUAAAAAUGUUUGC